RNAcentral lists this ribosomal RNA (897 nucleotides) under Sclerophyton elegans. RNAcentral describes it as "LSU rRNA". It matches the Rfam family "Eukaryotic large subunit ribosomal RNA", at positions 72 to 943 of the family's 3401-position model. Lineage: Eukaryota; Fungi; Ascomycota; Arthoniomycetes; Arthoniales; Opegraphaceae. The record is from RNAcentral.
GGAUUGCCCCAGUAACGGCGAGUGAAGCGGCAAGAGCCCAGAUUUGAAAUCUGACCCCCCAACCGCGGGGGUCCGAGUUGUAAUCUGCAGAGGGCGCUCCGGCGUCGGCACCGAGAAAAGUCCCCUGGAACGGGGCGCCAAUGAGGGUGAGAGCCCCGUACCCGCUCGGAUCCGCCGUCGCCGCCGUGGAGCCCCUUCGAAGAGUCGGGUUGCUUGGGAAUGCAGCCCAAAUCGGGGAGGUAAAUUCCUUCCAAGGCUAAAUACCGGCCGGAGACCGAUAGCGGACAAGUAGAGUGAUCGAAAGAUGAAAAGCACCUUGAGAAGGGGGUCAAACAGCACGUGAAAUUGUUGAAAGGGAAGCGCUCGCCGCGAGACAUGCCGCCCCCCGCCCGCCGUCCGGCUGUUUCCCCGCCCGUCGGGGUCCUCGCCGGUCGGUCUUGGGAGGCGGCGGGUCAGCGUCGGCCCGGACGGCCGGAGAACGCCCCCGGGAACGUAACCUCCCCUCGGGGAGGUCCUUAUAGCCCAGGGCGCGAUGCGGCCAGCCCGGGCCGAGGGACGCGCCUCAGGGUCCGGACGCUGGCGUAAUGGCGGCGAGCGGCCCGUCUUGAAACACGGACCAAGGAGUCGAACGUCUGUGCGAGUGUUCGGGCGUCAAACCCGCGCGCGCAAUGAAAGUGAACGGAGGUGAGAACCCCGCCCGGCGGGGGGCACCAUCGACCGAUCCCGAAGGGCUCCGGACGGAUUCGAGUAGGAGCACGGCCGUUCGGACCCGAAAGAUGGUGAACUAUACCCGGAUAGGGCGAAGCCAGAGGAAACUCUGGUGGAGGCUCGCAGCGGUUCUGACGUGCAAAUCGAUCGUCGAAUCUAGGUAUAGGGGCGAAAGACCAAUCGAACCAU